GCUGGGCGCUGUGGCCCACACCUGUAAUCCCAGCAGCUCAGGAGGCUGAGGCAGGAGGAUUGCAAGUCAGAGGCCAGCCUCAGCAAUUUAGCAAGGACCUGAGCAACUUAGCGAGACCCUGUCUCUA
Molecule: small RNA, 127 nt
Filed under: Marmota monax (woodchuck)
Lineage: Eukaryota; Metazoa; Chordata; Mammalia; Rodentia; Sciuridae
Source: RNAcentral